CCUACGGGCGGCAGCAGUGAGGAAUAUUGGUCAAUGGACGAGAGUCUGAACCAGCCAAGUAGCGUGAAGGAUGACUGCCCUAUGGGUUGUAAACUUCUUUUAUAUGGGAAUAAACUGUUCCACGUGUGGGCUUUUGUAUGUACCAUAUGAAUAAGGAUCGGCUAACUCCGUGCCAGCAGCCGCGGUAAUACGGAGGAUCCGAUCGUUAUCCGGAUUUAUUGGGUUUAAAGGGAGCGUAGGUGGAUUGUUAAGUCAGUUGUGAAAGUUUGCGGCUCAACCGUAAAAUUGCAGUUGAUACUGGCAGUCUUGAGUACAGUAGAGGUGGGCGGAAUUCGUGGUGUAGCGGUGAAAUGCUUAGAUAUCACGAAGAACUCCGAUUGCGAAGGCAGCUCACUGGACUGCAACUGACACUGAGGCUCGAAAGUGUGGGUAUCAAACAGGAUUAGAUACCCCAGUAGUC
This 460-nucleotide ribosomal RNA is filed under the name uncultured bacterium. RNAcentral describes it as "partial 16S ribosomal RNA". It matches the Rfam family "Bacterial small subunit ribosomal RNA", at positions 338 to 795 of the family's 1533-position model. The record is from RNAcentral.